CGCAAAGAAGCCUAGGAAGGAGCAGCCAGGGACAUACCAGAGAAAUAAGGAAGACAGUUUCUUUUAUUUUUAAUUUUGGAUUCAAGGGGCACAUAUCUACAUAUGUGCAGGUUUGUUGCAUGGAUAUAUUGUGUAGUGCUAAACUCCCACUUAUAAGUGAGUACAUGCAGUAUUUGAUUUUCUGUUUCUGUGUUAAUUCACUUAGGAUAAGGACCUUCAGCUGCAUCCAUGUUGCUGCAAAGGACUUGA
RNAcentral lists this long non-coding RNA (249 nucleotides) under Pan troglodytes (chimpanzee). Its description in RNAcentral is "long non-coding RNA NONPTRT012992". Lineage: Eukaryota; Metazoa; Chordata; Mammalia; Primates; Hominidae. The record is from RNAcentral.